AAUUAACAGAGCUUGGCAAUUUGUAUCUCAAAGCCCUGUAUGGACAGUAGCCAAACAACUAAUCAUCCACGGUUUUCUGACAAUCAUAUAAGUUUUAUUUAAAGGAAAAAUGUCAAAUUUGGCCCAGUAUUUGAAAAGAAGAGGGGGAACACGUUAAAAACUUAGGUCUCCUAGAAAUGUUUUAAUAAUUUGAAAAAAAAAAAAAAAAAAAGCCCACGGGAACAACUGUUCUUAAACAACUAAAUAUUUGCCAGAAGAAUCUGUAACCCAAUUACUGCAGCAUUAAGAACCUGAAAGUCACUGUUACAAAAAUGUAACUGAUCACUGGCACAAGUAAACAGUCUAAAGAGCAAAAGUUAAAUUGGACUUUAAAAUCCCUCUCAGUUUGAUACUUAGAGCAGCCACCUCUGAGGUAGCAUAUAACAGCUGUGCAAAACUACAUGUGACAAGAGAUUAGGCCAGGACACUGGGUACGGCAUGUGGAUGUAUGUGUAAAGGAAAACCUCAGCUCAUGGAAUACUAUGAGGAGGGUCGGUUAGCACAUUCCCUGGGCUCUGGAAAGUGUCACAGACACUCUGUUGCAGUGUGUUACACAGAACUAACUCACCAGGUCAUAUAAAAUUCUAGGCGGCAGCAGGGAGCUGGGAGCCACGAAGCCUCAAAUGCUAAUUCUGGAUCUACAUAAUUUGGUUUAAGCAACUGUCUGAAUCAGAUGGAGCCCAAAGCAGCUGCAGACGUAUGGUCCUAUCUCGGCUGCAGGCGUCAUGUAACUGAAGUAUUAAGAAAAUGAUCACAACCACAAAAACCAGGAGAGUGAAAGUGAGCAGAUGAAGGGAUUUUUAGUCAAACACUUCAAUGACCGCUUCACACAUUGGAGAAAAGUCAUCUUGGUUAAAGAGCCAAUACAAUUACGAUAUGAGCGACAACACUAAGAUCCCCAACAACACCAACAGCAAAAAGCAAAAUAAACAACAAAACAAAACAAAACCACAAAAAAACAAGUUACCAUUCCUGAUAUUUCUAAGUUAAAAAACAAGCAGCAAAAAAAUCCCUUAUGAAUGUCACACUCUCCCUAUACAUCAUAAUGAAGGGGCAGGGGAUGAUAGAACAGGCCUCAUUUUGUCAAAAUCCUUUGCAGUUUACCUUUAAGAUUCUCUCUUUUUCCUUUUUAGCCUGAUGAGGCAAAGGAUCCAUUAUGCCAAAUAAAUGAACUGGCCUGGAUCAGAUUAGAUCCUGCUUGUGGCUGCACCUACCAUUUCAAAAAUACAGACUGGAGACAGAAUACUAUAACCUUCUUGAUUAUCAUCAGUCUGCUACCAGCAAUGAGAAACAUUUUAGGAAUUGUAUGUUCCUGUAAUACAACUGCUAGCAUUCCCACAAUGGCAACAUGCAAAUAUUUUUCAUGAAAAAGGACAAUUUUUUUUUUAUAGAAAAUAGGCUUUAGCCAAAGAUACAAGAACAUAGGACCGGAAGGGACCCCCUGGGUCAAUUAAUCCAGUCCCCUGCUAUCACAGAUGACUAUGUUAUAUAAUCCUUUUCAUAACAUAAGCGAUAGGGCUCAGUACAGAAGUAACUGUGUGAAAUUCCAUAGCCCAUAAUGUACAGGAGGUCAGACUACAAGACGUGAUGAUGCUCCUUUCUGGCCUUAACAAUCUAGACAAGGUUCACAAAAUGUCCCCCAUUUUCUGACUACUUCUAAUGAACUUUUAGAAAAAGAAAGGCAGAAAAAGCCCUCACCCUAUACACAUGACAAGCUGACUCCUCUCAGAAAUAAAGCCUGUGUGUAAGAGGAGCCAACUGCCAUUAUAGUGUACAUUUGGCUUAGGUUUUCAGCAUUCACGCUCCUUCCCUAGCCAGCCCCAAAAAUGGCAAACUCAGAAACCAGCAUCACCAUGAGAAAGGACUGUGAGUGCAUUGGUGAGCUGACGUGCCCUGGGGUUGGCUGAGGUAGCAUGGGGCCACUUGGUCCUCGUUUGUCCUCAGAAGCAGCUCUAGUUCACAUAUCUCUGUUCCUUCUUUUUCCAGACUGUGGGGCAAGAUAGCUCACUCUGCUGGAAACUAUAACUACAAACAUUGUCUAAGAUUGGAAACAAAUCCGCUAACACUCUCUUUCGAUGCCUCAAGGCGAGAUCCUCAGUGCGCCCAGAAAAAUGGAGCUUAAAUAAAUAGUGGAUCUGAAACUGACAUAAAAGGACAUUCCAAAGCUAGCAGUUUUGAAGCAGUAAUUUCAGUACUUAUUUUUACAUGAGAAAGCAUGAUCUACGGAUACAGUAAAACAAAGAGAAAGUGCCUGUAAUUGGCUUACUGAGGCAUGAUUUCUACAAGCCAUGACUGUAACGUCUUGUAAAUAUUUUAUCUGAAGUCGCCCUCAUGUUUUAGGCUCAGUCAGACACAAAGGAUCAUAUCCUGGCAUCAGUUUCUAUGCAGAGCUGAGUUCCAUCAGCUGAUUGAUGCCAGGAUAUAUAGCAUAUAUUAAUCAUAAAGCUGUGGUAAUGUCAAAGCUUCCUUCUUACUCAGGCAGCAACUGUGAACUACUAAUUACCAGUACAGGAGUGCAAAGUAUCAUUUAGUAUUAUGAAUUAUGUUAGUCCUCCUAGGUCUUGAAAAGCCUAGUAAUCUGUCUUUUCUUUUUAUAUAAUAUACAUAUUAUAAAUAUAAUUUAUUAUAAUAUAUACAUAAUAUACAUAUAUUUUUGUUCAUUA
Gopherus flavomarginatus (Mexican gopher tortoise) is the source of this 2702-nucleotide long non-coding RNA. RefSeq lists it as uncharacterized. The record is from RefSeq and is a predicted model, not a curated record. NCBI's taxonomy places the organism in Eukaryota, Metazoa, Chordata, Testudines, Testudinidae. The transcript has 3 exons.